CAGUCGCCGCGGUAAUACGGAGGGUGCAAGCGUUAAUCGGAAUUACUGGGCGUAAAGCGCACGCAGGCGGUUUGUUAAGACAGAUGUGAAAUCCCCGGGCUCAACCUGGGAACUGCAUUUGUGACUGGCAAGCUAGAGUCUGUCAGAGGAUGGUGGAAUUCCCGGUGUAGCGGUGAAAUGCGUAGAGAUCGGGAGGAACAUCAGUGGCGAAGGCGGCCAUCUGGGACAACACUGACGCUGAAGCACGAAAGCGUGGGGAGCAAACAGGAUUAGAUACCCCGGUAGUCCCUGUCUCUUAUAA
Molecule: ribosomal RNA, 301 nt
Filed under: uncultured bacterium
Lineage: Bacteria
Description: partial 16S ribosomal RNA
Rfam family: Bacterial small subunit ribosomal RNA
Source: RNAcentral